This 500-nucleotide ribosomal RNA is filed under the name uncultured bacterium. RNAcentral's name for it is "partial 16S ribosomal RNA". It matches the Rfam family "Bacterial small subunit ribosomal RNA", at positions 30 to 523 of the family's 1533-position model. The record is from RNAcentral.
AUUGAACGCUGGCGGCAGGCCUAACACAUGCAAGUCGAGCGGAUGACGGGAGCUUGCUCCUUGAUUCAGCGGCGGACGGGUGAGUAAUGCCUAGGAAUCUGCCUGGUAGUGGGGGACAACGUUUCGAAAGGAACGCUAAUACCGCAUACGUCCUACGGGAGAAAGCAGGGGACCUUCGGGCCUUGCGCUAUCAGAUGAGCCUAGGUCGGAUUAGCUAGUAGGUGAGGUAAUGGCUCACCUAGGCGACGAUCCGUAACUGGUCUGAGAGGAUGAUCAGUCAAACUGGAACUGAGACACGGUCCAGACUCCUACGGGAGGCAGCAGUGGGGAAUAUUGGACAAUGGGCGAAAGCCUGAUCCAGCCAUGCCGCGUGUGUGAAGAAGGUCUUCGGAUUGUAAAGCACUUUAAGUUGGGAGGAAGGGCAGUAAGUUAAUACCUUGCUGUUUUGACGUUACCGACAGAAUAAGCACCGGCUAACUCUGUGCCAGCAGCCGCGGUAA